This 224-nucleotide unclassified non-coding RNA is filed under the name Enterococcus saccharolyticus subsp. saccharolyticus ATCC 43076. RNAcentral describes it as "16S-23S ribosomal RNA intergenic spacer". Lineage: Bacteria; Bacillati; Bacillota; Bacilli; Lactobacillales; Enterococcaceae. The record is from RNAcentral.
AAGGAAUAGUACGGAAACUACACAUCGUUUGCCUUUGUUCAGUUUUGAGAGGUUUACUCUCAAACGAAUUUGUUCAUUGAAAACUGGAUAUUUAAAGUAAAGAAAUCAAAACAAACCGAGAACACCGCGUUGAAUGAGUUUUUUAAUAAGUUCAAUUGCUUAUUUUUCUUGAUAAAACUUCUAUCGCUAGAAGAUCUUUAUCAAAACCCAACCGUAAGGUUGAU